AAAUGAACUCUCAGAUAAUUAAGACAAAAACACCAAAUCACCAGUGGGUGAACACUUUUCAGAAAACGAUCACUCCCUGUAUCUGACUUCUCAGUCCUCACCCUCACAGGAAACCUGCACAACACCUUCAAACGAUGAGCCUGGAAGCUUAAAUUCAUAACU
This is a long non-coding RNA of Gopherus evgoodei (Goodes thornscrub tortoise), 162 nucleotides long. RefSeq lists it as uncharacterized. The record is from RefSeq and is a predicted model, not a curated record. NCBI's taxonomy places the organism in Eukaryota, Metazoa, Chordata, Testudines, Testudinidae. The transcript has 3 exons.